Molecule: long non-coding RNA, 1055 nt
Filed under: Homo sapiens (human)
Lineage: Eukaryota; Metazoa; Chordata; Mammalia; Primates; Hominidae
Description: HSALNT0408356
Source: RNAcentral
CGGGCCGUGUGCUCCUAGUCGUCCUCUCCUCGAGGUGCCCCGCUGUGACCAGCAGACCUGCACACAGACGCAAGACAGGAUAAACAUCUGGGAAGCACAGGUAUAUGAGGCACAGAAACACAAGGCACUGUGGAUGCCUCUUCUGUCUGGACAGAAAACUGGAGUCAGGAGACCUCUCUGAGUCCCCAGAGACAGAAUCAUCACUACUGUGUGUCCUUGGAACUUAAAGUAGUAAAAAAAAAAAAAGACACAGCAAGAAGUUCACAGUCUGCAACUUGAAAGAGGACCCUCACAAGAACCCAACCAUGCUGGUACCUGAUCUUGGACUUCCAGACUUCCAGAACUGUGAGGAAAAAAAUAUUGCUGUUGUUUAUAAGCCACCCAGACUAUGGUAUUUUAUUAUAGCAACCCGAACAGACUGGUAUGGUUAAUGUAUGGAUUUUUGCCAAUUUUUACCUUACCCUCCAACAUUAAAGAAACUUGUUACUUUGCUACUUUAUUUUCUUCCCCUUACCCAUUCUUUGAAGAUGGUCCUUUCUGGACAGAUUUGUUCUUUUGGGCUAAUGAAAAAUUGAUGGUUAUGGGUGGAAAACAGGAGCAGAUUGGUAAUAGAGAAAGGGGGUGACUUAGCAAAAUAAUUUGCCAAUCUGUUUAUUAAUACUGAGGAGGAAAACAUAGAACGAGUUAAAACCAUGAGAGCAGGAGAUUAGAGAAGGAAUUUUUCAAGAAUUUAGAAUUAGAGAAGUGAAAAAGCACUCACAAUGUGCAAGAAAGGUGUAAAGGAGAGAAAUGGAGAAUUUGCUGUAGUAUAUAAAUGUUCUUUUUGUAGAAUCAUAAAAAAAAAUCCACAGGGAAGCUAUGAUUCAGUAUAGGUUCAUCUGUACCUAGUUGUUAUUAAUAAACAUUUAAUUACUUUGCAAAAUAUUUUGAACUAAAUGAAAAUAUAACAUCAAAUUUGUGGAAAAAUAUGAUAUAGCAAAUGAUAGAAAUCACAAGUAUGCUCUCAAUAAAAUUAAACUAGAAAUCAAUAACAGAAAGGUAGAUGGAAAACUCAA